AGGUGGAAGGAGCACCCUUAUGUCACAGUCUAUCUUUAUCGUUGUAACAAGGCCAGAGGAAAUCGGGUGCAUGACCAAGUUCUGCUGGCAGAACUACAACUGCAUUGACAUCCUCGGAUAUCACGCCACCUUUCCUCCUUGGACCAAAGAAACGAGCAGACCUUCCAGGGGACUCAGUGUUGGCGAAGCAGCCACACGGGAAGGCAGGGUUUCCACUCAUUCAGGGCCCUGGGUCUCCAUGCUCCCCUGCCCCGGCCAGCUCUGUACCACUCUGUUCCACAGCUUCCCUGUGAGCUCAGGUUUCCUUCAUUUCUCUUUCCCAUUAAGAGUUUGAUGUUAACAGCCCAUUCAAAGUGUUAUUUAACUUUAUGGAAUGAGAAAGAUCACAGGCGAGUCCUCAGAAAGGAAAAAGAAAAUGAAGUACUGUGAAGUAUAACUUAACAAAGAAGGAGACAGUUUAGCAUGAGUCGCCCAGGAAGCCAGAGAAGCUGCAGCUGGCCUUCUUGCCUAGGCCACCCCAGAGGGCACACGUGACAGUACCGGGAAAGCAAGCCAGGGGUCUCAGGCCGGGUGUCAGAGGGUUUCCCCUGUGUCCUGACAUUCUCCUCCCGCAUUGGAGAAGAACUUGAACGGUCUCAUUGAGGACCUGCUACGUGACAGAACCCCUCCAGUGCCAAAAAGAGAAUACAAAUACAAACACUGGGGAAAAAAUAUUUAAAAUCCCAGUUAGCAAAAUCCUCCGUCUUUGCCACAUGACUGAAGAGGGACUAUUUGGUUUAGGUAUAGAUCAUCCCCCCAAGAUGCAUGUGUUGAAGGCCACAUAGCAACAUCCAGACUCGGGCAGGGGACUUUGGGAAAUGAUCGAUCAUGAGGGUGCCGAUCUUACCGGUGAAUUAGUUCAUUUGAUGGAUUAACAGUUUUGAUCGACUACUAGGUAGAGGCUAUAGACAGGUGGCACGUGGUGGAAGGCAGUAGGCCAACGGGGGCAUGCCCUUGGGGACAAUAUCUCGUCUGUGGCUCAUUCUCUCCACCCCCUACUCAGCAACCAUGAGCUGAACAGCAUUCCGCCACCAGACCCUGUGCCCUCAAGUCCCGCCUCACCUCAGGCCCAGAACAAUGGAGCCAGCCAAGCAUGAAAUGAGCCUCUGAAACCAAGAGGCCAGACAAACCUUUCUUCUAAGUCAUCCGUCAGGUCUGUUAGUCACAGCCAUGAGGAGCUAACAGACUGCUGACCUUGUGACAGUUAGAAAAUAUGACAGACUACAGGACUUACAAACCAGGAGCAGGCUCUGGAAAGUGAGGACACACCCCUUGUCAGAUUCUGGUCAGGAGAUGUUUGAUAAAAAGGAAUUCCAAUUUCAGAAUAUUCUUUCCCCUUGGAAAGACCACUAAACAGGUACUCUUUGAUCUUCACACCCAUGAAGACCUUUUUUUUUCCACAGGAUUCCAUUUGAAUUAAGGGUUAAAAGAACAUAUUCUUAUCUCUAAAACAUAACAUUUCUCUGUUCAAUCAAUGUUUCCAACUUCCUCAUGCCACACAGUUAACAAUAAAUUCAGAAUGUGUGUUUAUCUACCUUGGUUUCCUAGACCAUAAACAUAAGGCCAAGGUCAAGACUAAAUAUAUAAGUUCCAUAAACAUCUAAUGUGCUGUAAGUAGUCCAUAAAACAUUUACACCAUCCAUAAAUUUCUUUGCACUAAUAACCAGGUUACAAAGAACAGCGUCAAUUCACUAUAGAAUUAGAGUGUAUUUAAUCUGUAACAAUUGAAAAUUUUUCAUAGUGGAACAUACUAUUUACAGUAUAAAAAUAAACAAGCUCCAGCCCCAAGAAGAGAUUAAACUGGGCAAGAUUAUCAGAUGAGGUAAAUGGAAGCUACUUUUAAACCAAUUACUACAGUCAUUUAAAAACAAAUGAGUAUAAGUUUUUAAAAAGUAAUGUAUUUAUCUAAGGGCUGGGCUGCAUCAGUAUUUGUAUACAAUGGGUUUCUAUAAAUCAAUUUUAGAAAUACACAUCUAGAACACGUUAAGUUACUUGUUAUAUUUCUAGAGAUGUAACCUUGAAGUUAUUCACAAAUAAUUCCUCAAGUCUGAAAAUAUUUUGAUAGUUUACCUAAUAUCAUAGGGGUAAGAAGCUACAUUAAAUCUGACAUAAGUUUUUAAAGUUCUUUUUUCAGUGCUAAGUCAAUCAGGAAAGAACAAUAGUCAUGACUCCACACACACACCCCCCUAACAAAACUGGAGCUGGCUCCUGGCAGGAGGAGGGAAAUCAGUCCUCAAGGUCAGAACGGCUGCCGGGCCAGUCUCAGUGCACAGAAUCCCAGGACAGGAAGGGCUGCCUGCCCUGGGCCCUCGUAGAGACUACUCAGCUUGCUAACUGGGUGCAAGGAAGACACCCCGGGGGUGCCAGCUGUGUCUGGGGCACGGAGACUGGAGCCCUCUGGGAUGCCCAUGCUGCUCCAGUGCCAAGAGAGAACCCGAGCUCAGUCCCAAGUUCAGGACUAAGUACACUAUAGGAGUCUGGCAGUCACCAGCCCAGGGAGCUAGACAGAGGCCGGCAAUUCUGAAUUUCUGGCAAGGAGAGCCUUUAACCCUGGUGGAGAGACCGCCUCCCCCCCCCACCCCAGCCCA
This 2627-nucleotide long non-coding RNA is filed under the name Marmota monax (woodchuck). Lineage: Eukaryota; Metazoa; Chordata; Mammalia; Rodentia; Sciuridae. The record is from RNAcentral.